CACUGACCUCUCACCUUGCUUCCUUGAGCUUCUGGCAAAUAUAUCUCUUUUUGUAUUUGUAGUCACUUUUUGUAUCACACAGCUUUGUUACAAUGCUGACGCCCAUCCCAUGUGUUCCCUAUUAAGGGUUAAUAAGUAUAUAGGGGUGUUUAUAAAAAUACCCCUCUCUGUCUCAUUAGAGAUAUCUUUGCCAGAAGCUCAAGGAAGCAAGGUGAAGGGUCAGUGU
This is a non-coding RNA of Pelobates cultripes (western spadefoot toad), 226 nucleotides long. Lineage: Eukaryota; Metazoa; Chordata; Amphibia; Anura; Pelobatidae. The record is from the annotation of a GenBank genome assembly.